Molecule: long non-coding RNA, 2206 nt
Filed under: Homo sapiens (human)
Lineage: Eukaryota; Metazoa; Chordata; Mammalia; Primates; Hominidae
Description: HSALNT0382359
Source: RNAcentral
CCACGCUGCCCAGGUCUUGAACUCCUGGGCUCAAGCAAUCCACCUGCAUCGGCCUCCCAAAGUGCUAGGAUUACAAGAGUGAGCCACCACGCCCAGCCUUCAAAACAUUAUCAUCACCCAAAACAGAAACUCUGUACCAUUAAACAGUAAUUCCACACCCCCCUCCAAUAUUACCACAUUUUUAUGAUGAGGAAAACGGAGGCACAGAGAGGCUCGGUAAAACAAUCAAUGUUACACAGCUAGCUAAGCAUAGGGGUCAGGACUCAGACUAGGCUAUUUGGCUCCAGAGCUUGCUUUCUGAAUCACUGUCUUACAUUUUUUUUCUUUUCUUUUUUUUUUUUCAGACAGAGUCUCACUCUGUCCCCUAGGCUGGAGUGCAAGACUCCGUCUCUAGAGAAAAAAAGAAAACCAGACAGAUUAAAAAGUUGCACUUACAAAGCAGUUGGGGCAUUUAUUGACAUUUAAACAAGGGAGGAGAUCCUGAACACUAGUCUCGCUCAGUUUAUAAAAACUUGAGGCCAAACUCUCCAUCAUCUGUACACAGCUUAACCACGGCCAGGAGCAAGAAUUCGAGUUAAACGAAUUGAACCAGUCCAACCACAAGACGAUAAAGGGAAACAGGGCGUGGGGAUUUCCAGUUUUUCCUUUUACAUUACAAAGUUUCCAACACAAGAAGCCAACAAUACCCCAGUGCUGCACCAAGUUACUUCCCACUGUUUCCCAAGGCACAGUCAAUUAAUAAUCAGUAGUCCAAGUUCUAAGAACAUUCCCUGGAAAACAAGGACGCACCUCCCGUGGCUCUAUGCAUGGCCUGCCACUGAUGAAUCAAAUUCUUAAGAACCUACGACCGUCUGAUACCCUUGAGGAGAGCACCCUCAUAGAAUCUCCAGCAUCAGGCCUCAGUUUUCCCAUCUGUAAAAGACAGCCAUGCAAAGUGGGAGAUCCGCUAGGCUUCCAGAUCGAAGUCAUCGCGCUCCUCAUUGUACUCUAGCACGUGCCGCUUGAUCUUGGACGAGUCCACCCAAGUGACAAAGUCCUCCAUGCUGCGCGUGACAAGGAAGGCGGGGUCGGUAACCACGUCAGGGCCCACGCGUACGUGCCCUUGCUCCACAAAGGCCACGGCAGCCUGAAGGUGCUGCGCCAUGCGCAGCUUGAGGAGCACGGUGGGGAGGCGGCGGCGGCAGAAGGACGAGGCCGUGACGAAGUCGCAGAGCUCCAGCGAACCGCGCGUGGGCACCAAGCCGAGAGCAUACAGCUUGUCCAGCAGCGCGGCCGAAGCGCGCACGCGGAACUGGUCGCGUUCGGGCAGGUCGCGCAGGCGCCGCGCCAGCUCACGCACGGCACGGCUCAGCUGGUUGUAGCGCGUGUAGUCCUCCCGCCGCUGCAGCCGGUAACGCCGCAGCACGCGCAGCUCGUGCAGGUUGUGGUCGGUGACCUCCCAGUUCAGGAAGUCCACCUGCUUCAGCAGCUUCUGCUCGUGGAACUUAAGCUUCCGCACCAUGAUGGCGGCAGCCGCAGCCGCAGGACCCGAAGCUGAGAGCGCGUUCUGGCAUCCGCGCGAUUUCCGCCGCGGCGCCCCAAGACCUGGACGGCCUGGGACCCUGGGCCAAUGAAAGAAAGACUUAAAGUCACGCCCUCACUUCCCAUUGGCCAGGGUGGGACCACGCCUCUGCACUGGGAUCUCGCGUUUCUUCUUUUCUUCGCGUUUGCGAGGGAGGGGGUAGAAGCACCGGAGGUGGGUGGUUGGGAGCGGGUCCCUAGGCGGUUCCGCGCGGUUUUUAGUAGCCAAGACUGUAUCCCUUUCUGCGGCAAUCAUUUCCUCCUAGACUUCUGUCCUUUGGGGACUUUCAGAGUCUCCCCCGCAAGAGCUGAAGAGGCCAUUUCUGGGGAAGAGGGGUGACUGCGGCUUGUUGAUUGGGUUUACUGUGCUAACUUGCACUGGGCUCCUGCCAUGCCUUGGGGGAGCUUGCCGGAGCCGGCUCUCCUGGGGCUGACCUGGUAGUCCCCGCCGCCCGCCAGCGUCAGGUCCUUCACCUGGCAUGCAGAGCGAUCUCUCAUUGUCAAGUUGGGAUAGGUGGCACCGAACCCAUGAAAUACUGAUUGGCUGCUUCCUAGGCCCACAGAAAAGGGAUCUAUAAGGGAGUCGCCUGGAAAUCUGUAUUAUUAACUAAAGUGUCAGAUGAUUCAUAAAACCCAGCAAGUUUGA